GAUGAACGCUGGCGGCGUGCCUAAUACAUGCAAGUCGAGCGAACAGACGAGGAGCUUGCUCCUCUGACGUUAGCGGCGGACGGGUGAGUAACACGUGGAUAACCUACCUAUAAGACUGGGAUAACUUCGGGAAACCGGAGCUAAUACCGGAUAAUAUAUUGAACCGCAUGAUUCAAUAGUGAAAGACGGUUUUGCUGUCACUUAUAGAUGGAUCCGCGCCGCAUUAGCUAGUUGGUAAGGUAACGGCUUACCAAGGCAACGAUGCGUAGCCGACCUGAGAGGGGUAUCGGCCAAACUGGAACUGAGACACGGUCCAGACUCCUACGGGAGGCAGCAGUAGGGAAUCUUCCGCAAUGGGCGAAAGCCUGACGGAGCAACGCCGCGGGAGUGAUGAAGGUCUGCGGAUCGUAAAACUCUGUUAUUAGGGAAGAACAAAUGUGUAAGUAACUAUGCACGUCUUGACGGUACCUAAUCAGAAAGCCACGGCUAACUACGU
This 496-nucleotide ribosomal RNA is filed under the name uncultured bacterium. RNAcentral describes it as "partial 16S ribosomal RNA". It matches the Rfam family "Bacterial small subunit ribosomal RNA", at positions 28 to 506 of the family's 1533-position model. The record is from RNAcentral.